RNAcentral lists this ribosomal RNA (217 nucleotides) under uncultured fungus. Its description in RNAcentral is "partial small subunit ribosomal RNA". The stretch from base 92 to 217 matches the Rfam family "Eukaryotic small subunit ribosomal RNA", at positions 738 to 864 of the family's 1831-position model. Lineage: Eukaryota; Fungi. The record is from RNAcentral.
GGCCUGGCUGGGCGGUCCGCCUCACGGCGUGUACUGUCUGGCUGGGUCUUACCUCUUGGUGAGCCGGCGUGCCCUUUAUUGGUGUGCGUCGGGGAACCAGGACUUUUACCUUGAGAAAAUUAGAGUGUUCAAAGCAGGCAAUACGCCCGAAUACAUUAGCAUGGAAUAACGAAAUAGGACGUGCGGUUCUAUUUUGUUGGUUUCUAGAGUCGCCGUA